UUUCGAAUCAUUCACAAUGGGCGCAAGCCUGAUGGUGCGACGCCGCGUGAGGGACGAAGGCCUUCGGGUCGUAAACCUCUGUCACUAGGGAAGAAACGCUUCAUUUUAAUAGAAUGAAGCCUGACUUAACCUGGAGAGGAAGCAGUGGCUAACUCUGUGCCAGCAGCCGCGGUAAUACAGAGACUGCAAGCGUUAUUCGGAUUCACUGGGCGUAAAGGGUGCGCAGGCGGCCAGGUGUGUCAGAUGUGAAAGCCCGAGGCUUAACCUCGGAAUUGCGUCUGAAACUACCUGGCUAGAGUAUUGGAGAGGGUAACGGAAUUCACGGUGUAGCAGUGAAAUGCGUAGAUAUCGUGAGGAACACCAGAGGCGAAGGCGGUUACCUGGACAAUUACUGACGCUCAGGCACGAAAGCAUGGGGAGCAAAAGGGAUUAGAUACCCCCGUAGUCC
RNAcentral lists this ribosomal RNA (448 nucleotides) under uncultured bacterium. RNAcentral describes it as "bacterial SSU rRNA". It matches the Rfam family "Bacterial small subunit ribosomal RNA", at positions 355 to 796 of the family's 1533-position model. The record is from RNAcentral.